GAAUAGCGUCGAACAUAGAGGCCCCCUUUUGUCUCUCUAGGAGGUAGUACAAGCACCAGAAGCCGCAAAGUACUGACAGCCUCUCUUGGAUCUCAUCCCCUGAAUAAGCAAGUGCCUUUCCAGACAUAGCUAGGUACCGCUCAACCUCAUGUGGCACUGCAAAGCUGUCGAAGUAUUCACAGUACGUGUUGUUACAGCUAAACUCUGAAUUUUUGUGUUACAAGAUGUUUUGUUAAUAUGUUUGUACACCCUUUGUUCGUCGCCGGUUUAGUAGUUUCUAGUUAACACAUCGUUCUAUUGUUAUUACAGUCCUUUGUCUAAGUCAUGCUAAUUUUCGAUAAGUACACGUAAGCAUUCUAUAUAUUAGUCACUGCAGUUAAGAUUUAUUUAGUUCGUCCUCUCUGUCGUCUACUCGUCUGUAUAUUGUCACCUUUGAGUACCGUCAAUGUGGAGAAUAAAAUGAACUAGAAGUUCACAUGGUUAUUUUAUUUUCACGGCGCGUCACUCUGGUGACAUAGUACUCAAAGAUCUAGAUGAUAGUUGACGAUGUUUGUUCUACCAUGGAAAGGUAGAAAGAAAGACUUCUUAAUGAUCUUGACGUCCUUAUUGCUGAAAAUGUUCCUUCAGACACGGUUCUAAAGAAACGAAGAACUUUGGAAAAUAUAAUUGAAAACUUCAAAGCUUGUGUUCUGAAAUGGUAUCAAGAAGUUGAUCCAACUAAUGCAAUUAAGAGAGGUCAAAUUGCAAAGACAUUCAAUGAUGAAAUUAUCAGAUUUAAAAGAUUUCAAGCUGCAUACAAAGAAUGGCAUAAUCAUGUGUACGAGAGCAGACCGCUCACGUCAUUUAAGUUAUAUUUGAAUGAAAUAGAUGAUGAAAUUUUAUAUCCUGAGCAUUCUCGCAUUGAGCCCGCGAUACUCGAAGUGCCUGGUACUAAUCAGCGGACUGCGCAUUCUCAUAUUGAGCCUGCGAUACUAGAAGUUUAUGAAAGCAGUCAGCGGUCGACACUUUCCCAAGCUGAGCCCGCGUUGUCCCAAGUUUACGGCAGUGGCCAGCGGUCUUCUCCCACUCAAGUUGAGCCCGCGUUGCAUGAAGUACGUGACACUGGUCAGCGGUCAACUCCCACUCAAGUUGAGCCCGCGUUGCAUGAAGUACGUGACACUGAACUAGAAGUUCACAUGGUUAUUUUAUAUUCACGGUGCGUCACUCUGGUGACACGUGUCGUCUAUAUUUCGGUAGCAGACCCAAUGAGUUCCAGCUCCUCUACUAUUGUCGAGGUUGACUAUCCCACAUUCCUUUUUAUGGAUCCGCUUGGGUAGAUCAUCGCGACUAUAUACACCUCUGAAGUGUUCUAUGCCUAGCUUGGUGACCCGUUUUAGAAGGUCGAUGUUUGAAAGUGGUUUAUUAACAAACCAUAUAGAAGCGCUUCGAGUAAUGGGAUACCGUUGAACGGGCUUUUUUGCCUAGGAGGAGCCAUCUUGCAUUUUGCUUCUUUCUUUUUUUUUUUUUUGCUUUCUCUUUGGUUUAGCUCCAUAUCCAAUCGUUGAGUCAUCCCACUGACCGUAAAAUGGAGGUGGCCUUAGGCUUAGGUAACCGCCCUUAGGCUUAGGCUUAGGUGGUGGGGGGAUUCUGUACGUUUGAAGGUAGUUCUAAGGACUGUUGUCUACUUGGAGACCUUUACCCGAUAGAGCUGACAUAAGCAGGGGCACCCCGAUCGAGGCAAGCAACGCCCCGAGCAACCCCCCUUCCUGUUGCUUUCUAGUUAGUUUAAACUGUGGGAUAAAAGACCCAGCUUGGAGGGCUUAAACGAUUUGCUCCUUUUGUUUUUGCGUAAGGUAGCCCUUAUACUUUAUUAGUUUGUCAACUUUGUCUUGCGGGACACUUAAUAGCCCAGAGCCAGUCUUUGGUAAGGCCUUAUUGAGACCCCAACUAGCUAAUCCACUGAGAGCGCCCGUGGCCAAUGGCGCGACGGCCUUAGAUAGGUAUGGUAGUGCUGCUGACCCAAGGCGGGCAAGUGCUGGUAAUAGAGCGCCCAAGAAUCCACCUUCCUGCUUUCUAAUCUGAGUCUGACUGAUUUUUAUGUCAGUCCCUGUCCAAUUCCGUUUCGACUUCUCAACUCGAUUAAUCUGGCUUUUUGUCAACAGCACAGUAUCUGAGCCUGACAGUUGGCUAUGCUUUAGUCGAAGAGUUAUAGGUGCUUUCUUCUUAUAUGACUUGAGCAACUUCUCCUUUUGACCUGGAGUCAAUCUUACAUUGUAUUUGACAUACGACAUCUAUACUAAUAGGUUAUACAAAAACCUAGAUUCUAGUAAGUAGGGUUCCUCCUUUGUAGUCAUUAAUGGAAUUUACGUGUCCUACGACGUCUCGAAACACUCUGGACAUCGCAGAACUAACCUGGUACUCACCCUCUGGAUACUGGUUACCAGUCCCUACCUCUAGAUGACAACUCGUUAGCGUCCUAUCGUUAGCCAACGAAAAUGUCUUAUAUAGGAAUGGAUUUAUUGUUUGAGAAUCCUUAUUGGUGUCAUUGGAUAUCCACACGAAAACAUGUCUAGGACGAUUGAUUCCACUGGUUAUCUUAAAGCGCUGUUUGAGCUCUUACUGUGUUUGACCGCUCGACCAUCUCCCUUAGAUAAGUCCACUUAUGGGGAGCUAAAUAUUUACUCAUACAUGCUCUCACCCCCUGAGUUGAAGAUGAUUCGUGGCACCCACAGUUUGAAUCUCGUUAUAACGACUCGGCAAUCCGCUCCUGCUUGCCAUAUGAGAGUCGCGUCACUAUUUCGAGUGAUUUGUAUCUCAACCUUUGUGUUAGGCAUAAGUUUGUCUUUAAACGCUUCAAACAAAGAGUCUCUACUGAAAGGUAUUUCAGUGUAAACAGUUGUAGAUGUCCCGAGCAAAAACUAUCAAGCAGCAAAGCCCUUAUUAUAACCCGCAUGGGCUGACCUCUUCUCAACAUAUCUUUUAGUGUCUAGGAAGUAAAACUCGUUUGUUCCAGUCGUUUGAGCAUAUGAAGUGUCGUACUCAAGAAGGUUCUUGAUAUUAACGGUGUGAUCCGCCUGUGUGUUGUCGUAGACUGAAAUGCCAUUGACCUUGACGGAUAUCUCGUUGAUCAGUGAAUGACUACCAUUUACAAUACCAUUGUCAUCGUCGACAGCGAUGUUUCCACCAUCCGCUAACAAUUGGACUUUAAAAGUAACCUCAAAACGGGCGUUGUACCAAUCGAGAGGCGCGAUUUCUCCACUGUUGUCGGCCACAAUACGAUACCCUGUGAGGGUUUGGUGCGCGUUGUUCGCGACGUUUAAGACUAGUGGAGUCUCUAGAUCGAACGAAACGUCUUCAUAGCGUUGUACGUACUUCGGAUUUCUAUACAUUUAUAUAAUAUGGUUAGAUAAUACCUCACACUCUCAACCAGACGCACCCUUCCAGAUCCGUUAAAUAUACGCUGGACACGUUCGAUGAUCUCAGAGUCUGUUAACGGAGCAUCUUUGGUUGUUGUUGGGCUAACAGUGGGUUGGGUACUCUUUUUGUUCUUCUCUAGGAGCUUGACGAUCUGAUCCGCUGCUCUAUUCCAAGGGUAAUCGCCAGUUUUGGUUAUAGCGUUUGAGACUGCUUUACUCGUCGCAUCCUUUACAGCCUUCUUUGCUGUCUUUCCAAAUACCUUACGGCCGCGAUUAGUUAUCGAGUCAAAAACGCUCCCGCCGUAGAUGUGCUUCAAUACGUAUCUACCCACAUCGGGGUCAUAUCUCCUCUUAUACUCAUGUUGAGAACUCAUAUACAAUUAGGUUAGACUAAUAUAUCGACCUCAGGAUUAGAGUCAUGUGCCAUUCGAUACCGUUGAGAUUGAUAGUACGACCAAUAGAAUCCACGACGUAGAAUCUCAUACUGCUAAUCAAAUUGGCAGCCACGUUGUUACAGCGCUCUGGUUGGUUGGACUGAGAACGGGUAGCUCCGACUCAAGUUGUCUGUCGGUAUGACAAAUAGCGUGUUACUAGCGCGACCUCCUACAAUGUUGUCGGUUAUUAGAUUAGUGUUGAUGUGGAGCAUGUCUAUGCUGUUCGUGAUGUUGGGUAAUUUAGAUCCAUACUCAGUCUUCGAGAUGACGUUUGGGUCGAAUCCUAUAAGUUCGCCGGAUUUUGUCCCCCUCACGACUUUGUAGGUGGUGAGGACAAAUACGAUGUUGAUUUGGAAUUUGUCUUUACCAUCAGCAACCCCUACAUGACCGUUCGAUUUCAUGUCCUGAUGUAAAAAAUCGUUCAGAUCAUGGUAUGAGUACCCCACUUGGAAAGGUGACGGUUGUCUAAGUCGCCUCACUAUCAGUCUAAGUCUUAAACCGUACCAAAACCUAAUUCUACCGACGGCGAAGUCUGAAGCCUACCAAACAUACCAAACAUGCAUGCAGGACAUAUAGAAGAUAGUAAGAUUUUGCAGAAAUUGCGUGAAACAUGCCCAUUGCUAUAUACCUUACAAGUGAUUUUAUGUGGUGAACCAAUCGGAAGAAGCCAGAAAAAUAGCUGUUAGUUGUCUUAUAUUUACAAGGUUCCCCACAUAAAAAUUUACCCGAAAAGCUGGAUCUGACAUAGUAAUUAACCUAUAACCAAAAUAUUAAAAAAAAAAUAUUAUGAAUCAUGUUGUGUCAUCUGUAUCUUAUGCUAUAAUAGGUAGUAAAAGAGUAAAAUGUAGGGUAACAAAAUAGGGAGAUUUAGGGAAUAUCUAGUGAGUGUUGCUGAUGAAGUAGGCGUGAAGGCAUGUUGCUAGUGUAUAUGUGGAAUGAUGGCGGUGGAAGGGCGAAGAAUUGUGUGUGGCUGAAGAGGAAAAUAAGAAGAGGGGCUAGAAAAUAGAUGUUUACCAUAUCUCCGAGAAUCUCCGUAUAUGAAAGAUAUUCCUAGUUAAUAAUAGCUACUUCUAUUAGUCGGGCACGUUUCAUUAGCGUGUCGGGAGAGCUCGCGCCAUUUGGCAGUAGCUAAGAUAACGCAACGUAACUUGACCAGGUUUUUUAAUGAAGAGCGCGUUGCAAAUAAGGCACACUUCAGGCAUUUCAUGGAUUAUUAUCAGAAUUUAACCUAAUAUCCUGCCCUUGAGCGCGUCGCACAAUUCAGCCAAAUCAGAAUGUGUUUCGUUGUUUAGAAUUUAGCCAAACAAGCUCUGUUUUUGCCCUUGUAACGACAAGGAACUAUUUGGUACGUGACACUUUCUUAAAUAUGGCACUUUGUGCUGUAUAACAUUGCACUUUUUACAUAGUCGCAAAAACUGGAUAUCAGUUUAUGGCUGUACGACAUCGCAUUUUGUCUUAUCACACCGCUCUAAUUUCAUACAGAUUUUAGCUGAUGAAACAAAGGUCCUUCGAAGAACAUAGGGUAGCUUGGUCCCCCCUAGUAGUUCGCCUCUAGUACAGCCUUUUUUAAAUGCGCUGCGCUGAAACAAACACCUUCCAGGGAAAAAUCAAGGGAGGGAAUAUGCUGUCCCCCCAACCACCUUCCAAAAAAAUGUGUGCGUGUGUGUGUGUGUGUGUGUGUGUGUGUGUGUGUGUGCGUGCGCCGAACCGUGUUUAGGAGGACCGGUAUUUGGAUAAACACCAACGUUCAGAGGACCACCGUAUUUACGAGGACCGACCUCCGGUCCUCGUAACGCUUUUUGUCUAGAACACCGUAAAACGUCGUGCAAUGAUAUCCUAGAGGCUUUUUAAAGUGGUCCUCGUAAACCACCCUGGGCAUGAUUUGUAAGUGUGCAUGAUUUUGGUCCUUCUAAACCACCUUCCGUUAGCUUUUUACUUUUUAUUGCUUUUUUCAGUCAUACUCUAGGAAUCUUAGGUUUUGAGGCUAUCUCACAUAUUAUCAAGGAAUAACAAUUACAAAAAAGUUGUUUCUUCUAGUUUACACUCUUCUUUUUUUUUAGCCCCACACACACUUUUUUCAGUGGUCUUCCUAAUGUUGGUGAAAAAACAUGUCGUAGCAACGUCGGUGAAAAAACUUGUUAUAUUUUAAUCAAAUGCAAGUAGGGAAUUAAAUGACACUAUAUAGUUGUUUUGUUCGUUUAUUAGAAUUGCAACAAAUAAAUCAAUUCUAUCACA
Long non-coding RNA from Nematostella vectensis (starlet sea anemone), 6064 nucleotides. RefSeq lists it as uncharacterized. The transcript is spliced from 2 exons. NCBI's taxonomy places the organism in Eukaryota, Metazoa, Cnidaria, Anthozoa, Actiniaria, Edwardsiidae. The record is from RefSeq and is a predicted model, not a curated record.